AAGACACUAGUUAAACAAUAACCUUACCUUGUCAAGGUAAAAUUGUGGGUUAAACCCCCGCGUGUCUUA
This 69-nucleotide transfer RNA is filed under the name Polynemus dubius (eastern paradise fish). RNAcentral describes it as "tRNA-Asp". It matches the Rfam family "tRNA". Rfam says of the family: Transfer RNA (tRNA) molecules are approximately 80 nucleotides in length. Their secondary structure includes four short double-helical elements and three loops (D, anti-codon, and T loops). The record is from RNAcentral. RNAcentral also lists the same sequence under 1 other name. Lineage: Eukaryota; Metazoa; Chordata; Actinopteri; Polynemidae.